This is a long non-coding RNA of Eleginops maclovinus (Patagonian blennie), 2215 nucleotides long. RefSeq lists it as uncharacterized. NCBI's taxonomy places the organism in Eukaryota, Metazoa, Chordata, Actinopteri, Perciformes, Eleginopidae. The transcript is spliced from 3 exons. The record is from RefSeq and is a predicted model, not a curated record.
AUAUAAAAACUUGUGAGGGUGUUUUUUCUGCUUCUUGCAAAGGAUCACACGGUUGUUUGUGUAUGUUAUUAGCCCUCUUUUAAAUCCUACUAGAAGAAAGCUGUUUGGUUCUUAACGAGGUUCGAUUCCUGACAUCGGAAAACUUUUUUUAUUGCGUCUUAAAAGCCAUAUUUUCUUCAACUAUCGAAUAAAUCUCUCUCCAUUAGAAAGUGUUUCCAAUGCAAUUCAACUGUUUCACUUUAUAGCAGUUCCAUUUUUUUUUUGGAAAGGAGUUUCACCUCAUCCGAUCUGUAGGUCCAAACAUAGACAGCAUACUGUUCUCUUAAGAUUUAAAGUAAUCAGCUACCUAGGCUAAGAAAAAGAUCACGGUUUGGGAUAAAAAACAAGCAGACUUGAAACAUGUAGGUUAAGUAUAUUGCGUAUAUGGUAUAAGUGAGGUACUUUGCGUACAUGGGGUCAUUACAGUAUAUUAGGUACUUGAUGUAAAUUAAGUAAGAUAAAUAACUUCCUGGCUAGGUUUAGGCAAAAAAACUACAUAGGUUAAGAUAAGUUACCUACACUUGUUACAUACUUAAAUUCAAUAAGUAACGUUGGUGAUGUAAGGGGAGUCUUUAUGCAAGCUGACUUACGUACAUUACUUCAAAUAAGUCAUUGCUCAAGAUACAGACAGCAGUUCUAAGGUGAAGUCAUGUGUUUAUUCCAUGGACUCCAAUAUCAGCCCUAAUGACUCAUUGGGAGCGAUAACGCGCUGCUUGUAGCAUCAAGUGGGGAGAUAAUAUUUUCACAAAAACUUGACUGGAAUUUGCACUUAUGACCUCAGAUUUUCUGGAUUUGUGCUAAAGCCCUGGAAACAAAUACGUUUUCUCAAUUAUUCAAGGAAACAAAGCAUUUACGCCUAGAAAACGGACUGUCAUAACAUGGGGUUUUGGAGCGUAGUCAUUUUUUAUUUAGGACACAGCAUCUUUUGUUGAAAUGAUAGACUGUGUGUCAGUACAGGAUAUGAAAUAUUUGGGUAAAAAGAUAUGGAAUCCACUGUGUUACUACAUGUGUAAAUAUGUACUAAUUUUCUUUGCUGCUCCUGAGCCGUUAAGAAAUAACUGCUCAUUUUUGUAACUUUUUGUACCAUAUUUGACUGUGAAAAAGUGUUUCAUUGAUAUUGUUAAAAUGUCCCAAGUCUACAUGUUUAUUGCAAUCCUUCUGGGCCUCAUUUAAAGUUACUUAUGCAUGCCCUGAUCCAUUAAACUACUGGGAGGACGGUCGCUACAUUCUGGGUAAUUUCAUGGGUGGAAUCUGCAUGAGAUUAGAGGAAUUAAUGUUUCUAUUUCUCCCUUUCCAUCAUUUCUUCAAAGGUGUUUCUACGUAGGCGGUUUAUUAGGUUCACCACUAAUAAACGUAACAAUUGCAUUCUAUAUAAGAGCUGAUUUUUCUGCCUCUACACAUCUCGAACUAACAAAGCGCUUCGGUAAUCUGAUCACUUUUCUAAAACUGACUAUUAACACAAACAAGUGUUAAUCACCAGCCACUUCCAAUGGAUUUUCAUCAGAAGAAUGGUAGAAAAAAGAUGGAGGAGCAGCUACCCGCCUGAGAUCACAGUUCAGCAUGGUUUCCUAACUAGCUAGCUAAUCUUCCUCGACUCUUGGCCAACACCAGUGGAGCUUUGCUGAUGGACAGAGAGGCCGGCAGCAGAGGUUUACAGUCGUCUUUAAGAUCCUCCGGCUGCUGAGAGGCCUCCAUGUUCACUACUUGACUUAUAAAAACACCACUAAAAUGUUCAACACUUUGGAGUUUUUUCACUGUUCCUAAUUAUCCUCAGAUCGAUCCGCCAAUACAGAUGUUCUCAACCUCGGGUUUGCUCGGGAGUUUAUAAGAAAUAUAUAUAAAUAUGUAUUUUUAAAACGAAUAUUUUUAUAGAAUAUAUAUGAUUGUUUCUAUCUAUUAUGUAAUUGCUGCUGCUUAAAUGUUUUUUAAGAAAGAUUUUAUACUUUUUUAGAAAGAUUAAAUACAUUCCUGAUAGCUAAGACUGGUGGGAAUUUUAUAUUUCACAGGAUGGAAACUAUUUCAAAUCCAAAAUGUGUUUGCAAUAAAAUUAGGCGGCCAAUACUGGGAAAUGAUUGGUGUAUUAAUGAAAAUUGGUGGCAAGUUUGGUAAUAAGUUGCUACUGUAAAAACGGGUGAAUAUACAAUUAAAUAAAAAAGAACCCAGUGUAUUAAAUCGA